RNAcentral lists this ribosomal RNA (467 nucleotides) under uncultured bacterium. Its description in RNAcentral is "bacterial SSU rRNA". It matches the Rfam family "Bacterial small subunit ribosomal RNA", at positions 28 to 507 of the family's 1533-position model. The record is from RNAcentral.
GACGAACGCUGGCGGCGCGCCUAACACAUGCAAGUCGAACGAGAGAUGAGGAGCUUGCUCUUCAAAUCGAGUGGCGAACGGGUGAGUAACGCGUGAGGAACCUGCCUCAAAGAGGGGGACAACAGUUGGAAACGACUGCUAAUACCGCAUAAGCCCACGGCUCGGCAUCGAGCAGAGGGAAAAGGAGCAAUCCGCUUUGAGAUGGCCUCGCGUCCGAUUAGCUAGUUGGUGAGGUAAUGGCCCACCAAGGCGACGAUCGGUAGCCGGACUGAGAGGUUGAACGGCCACAUUGGGACUGAGACACGGCCCAGACUCCUACGGGAGGCAGCAGUGGGGAAUAUUGCACAAUGGGGGGAAACCCUGAUGCAGCGACGCCGCGUGGAGGAAGAAGGUCUUCGGAUUGUAAACUCCUGUUGUUGAGGAAGAUAAUGACGGUACUCAACAAGGAAGUGACGGCUAACUACGUG